GACGAACGCUGGCGGCGUGCCUAAUACAUGCAAGUCGAACGAGAGCGACCGGUGCUUGCACUGGUCAAUCUAGUGGCGAACGGGUGAGUAACACGUGGGUAACCUGCCCAUCAGAGGGGGAUAACAUUCGGAAACGGAUGCUAAAACCGCAUAGGUCUUCGAACCGCAUGGUUUGAGGAGGAAAAGAGGCGCAAGCUUCUGCUGAUGGAUGGACCCGCGGUGCAUUAGCUAGUUGGUGAGGUAACGGCUUACCAAGGCCGUGAUGCAUAGCCGACCUGAGAGGGUGAUCGGCCACAUUGGGACUGAGACACGGCCCAAACUCCUACGGGAGGCAGCAGUAGGGAAUCUUCCGCAAUGGACGCAAGUCUGACGGAGCAACGCCGCGUGAGUGAAGAAGGUUUUCGGAUCGUAAAACUCUGUUGUUAGAGAAGAACAAGUGCUAGAGUAACUGUUAGCGCCUUGACGGGAUCUAACCAGAAAGCC
This 483-nucleotide ribosomal RNA is filed under the name Granulicatella adiacens. Its description in RNAcentral is "bacterial SSU rRNA". It matches the Rfam family "Bacterial small subunit ribosomal RNA", at positions 28 to 492 of the family's 1533-position model. Lineage: Bacteria; Bacillati; Bacillota; Bacilli; Lactobacillales; Carnobacteriaceae. The record is from RNAcentral.